RNAcentral lists this unclassified non-coding RNA (162 nucleotides) under uncultured Corynespora. Its description in RNAcentral is "sequence contains ITS2". The record is from RNAcentral. Lineage: Eukaryota; Fungi; Ascomycota; Dothideomycetes; Pleosporales; Corynesporascaceae.
CAACCCUCAAGCCUAGCUUGGUGUUGGGCGUUUGUCCCGCCUCCGCGCGCCUGGACUCGCCUCAAAAGCAUUGGCGGCCGGUUCCCAGCAGGCCACGAAGCGCAGCACAGCAAGCGCUAAAGUGGCUGCGGGUCGGCGCACCAGAAGCCCCCCAUAUCAGAA